AUAAAUCAAAACUUUCAACAACGGAUCUCUUGGUUCUGGCAUCGAUGAAGAACGCAGCAAAAUGCGAUAAGUAAUGUGAAUUGCAGAAUUCAGUGAAUCAUCGAAUCUUUGAACGCACAUUGCGCCCGCUGGUAUUCCGGCGGGCAU
RNAcentral lists this ribosomal RNA (147 nucleotides) under Fusarium sp. HMA-12. RNAcentral describes it as "5.8S ribosomal RNA". It matches the Rfam family "5.8S ribosomal RNA", at positions 1 to 138 of the family's 154-position model. From Rfam's summary of the family: 5.8S ribosomal RNA (5.8S rRNA) is a component of the large subunit of the eukaryotic ribosome. It is transcribed by RNA polymerase I as part of the 45S precursor that also contains 18S and 28S rRNA. Functionally, it is thought that 5.8S rRNA may be involved in ribosome translocation. RNAcentral also lists the same sequence under 2 other names. The record is from RNAcentral. Lineage: Eukaryota; Fungi; Ascomycota; Sordariomycetes; Hypocreales; Nectriaceae.